RNAcentral lists this transfer RNA (90 nucleotides) under Cellulomonas pakistanensis. RNAcentral describes it as "tRNA-Ser". The record is from RNAcentral. Lineage: Bacteria; Bacillati; Actinomycetota; Actinomycetes; Micrococcales; Cellulomonadaceae.
UCCCCGCGUGCGGGGGCCGCGCGCUCCUUGAGCCUGCUGCGCUCAAGUCUGCGUCGCGGUCGGUCGCGGUGCAACUCCGCGGCGGCGAAC